Molecule: ribosomal RNA, 87 nt
Filed under: Neviusia alabamensis
Lineage: Eukaryota; Viridiplantae; Streptophyta; Magnoliopsida; Rosales; Rosaceae
Also listed under: 3 other names
Description: partial 5.8S ribosomal RNA
Rfam family: 5.8S ribosomal RNA
About the family: 5.8S ribosomal RNA (5.8S rRNA) is a component of the large subunit of the eukaryotic ribosome.
Source: RNAcentral
UGCAGAAUCCCGUGAACCAUCGAGUCUUUGAACGCAAGUUGCGCCCGAAGCCAUUAGGCCGAGGGCACGCCUGCCUGGGCGUCACAC